UACGUAGGGUGCAGGCGUUUAAUCGGAAUUACUGGGCGUAAAGCGUGCGCAGGCGGUUUGCUAAGACAGGUGUGAAAUCCCCCGGGCUUAACCUGGGAACUGCGCUUGUUACUGGCAGGCUUGAGUGUGGCAGAGGGGGGGUGGAAUUCCACGUGUAGCAGUGAAAUGCGUAGAGAUGUGGAGGAACACCGAUGGCGAAGGCAGCCCCCUGGGCUAACACUGACGCCUCAUGCACGAAAGCGUGGGGAGCAAACAGG
This 257-nucleotide ribosomal RNA is filed under the name uncultured bacterium. Its description in RNAcentral is "partial 16S ribosomal RNA". It matches the Rfam family "Bacterial small subunit ribosomal RNA", at positions 524 to 776 of the family's 1533-position model. The record is from RNAcentral.